CACCUCCGCCUCACCACUACCACCGCCACCAACUCCUCUUCCUCCACCGCCUCUACCUCACACUUUUUUUUUAAAAUAGUUUAAAAACAGGUAAAAUUAAAUAUAUUUCUAUUUUUAAAUAAUUUAAAAAAAAGUGAACGCAACAUACUUUUAGUUUCUGUUUUACAAAAAUCUAAACAAAACUAAACAAACAUAAAAAAAAUAAAAAAAUAAAAAUGUUACCAAACAUCCCCAAACGUCCAAAACCAAUGCAAAGGUUGACUCAAAGUUGGAUAAUUUACCCACUUAAUAGACCCUCCGUCCAUCCUAUUUUGUUCGGAUUUUUUGAGAUGUUUGAAAAUAUUUGCUCAUUUUUAAAAGUUAAUAAAGGGAAAAAUAUUAUAGAUUUUCUACUUUACUCUUUCAGUUUUAAAUUGAGGUG
Molecule: long non-coding RNA, 421 nt
Filed under: Actinidia chinensis (golden kiwifruit)
Lineage: Eukaryota; Viridiplantae; Streptophyta; Magnoliopsida; Ericales; Actinidiaceae
Description: long non-coding RNA (ACHI_LNC000986)
Source: RNAcentral